GAUGAACGCUGGCGGCGUGCCUAAUACAUGCAAGUCGAGCGAACAGAUGAGGAGCUUGCUCCUCUGACGUUAGCGGCGGACGGGUGAGUAACACGUGGAUAACCUACCUAUAAGACUGGGAUAACUUCGGGAAACCGGAGCUAAUACCGGAUAAUAUAUUGAACCGCAUGGUUCAAUAGUGAAAGACGGUUUUGCUGUCACUUAUAGAUGGAUCCGCGCCGCAUUAGCUAGUUGGUAAGGUAACGGCUUACCAAGGCAACGAUGCGUAGCCGACCUGAGAGGGUGAUCGGCCACACUGGAACUGAGACACGAUCCAGACUCCUACGGGAGGCAGCAGUAGGGAAUCUUCCGCAAUGGGCGAAAGCCUGACGGAGCAACGCCGCGUGAGGGAUGAAGGUCUUCGGAUCGUAAAAAUCUGUUAUUAGGGAAGAACAAAUGUGUAAGUAACUAUGCACGUCUUGACGGUACCUAAUCAGAAAGCCACGGCUAACUACGUG
This 497-nucleotide ribosomal RNA is filed under the name uncultured bacterium. Its description in RNAcentral is "partial 16S ribosomal RNA". It matches the Rfam family "Bacterial small subunit ribosomal RNA", at positions 28 to 507 of the family's 1533-position model. The record is from RNAcentral.